This 497-nucleotide ribosomal RNA is filed under the name uncultured bacterium. RNAcentral describes it as "partial 16S ribosomal RNA". It matches the Rfam family "Bacterial small subunit ribosomal RNA", at positions 28 to 507 of the family's 1533-position model. The record is from RNAcentral.
GACGAACGCUGGCGGCGUGCCUAAUACAUGCAAGUUGAGCGAUGAAGAUUGGUGCUUGCACCAAUUUGAAGAGCAGCGAACGGGUGAGUAACGCGUGGGGAAUCUGCCUUUGAGCGGGGGACAACAUUUGGAAACGAAUGCUAAUACCGCAUAACAACUUUAAACAUAAGUUUUAAGUUUGAAAGAUGCAAUUGCAUCACUCAAAGAUGAUCCCGCGUUGUAUUAGCUAGUUGGUGAGGUAAAGGCUCACCAAGGCGAUGAUACAUAGCCGACCUGAGAGGGUGAUCGGCCCAAUUGGGACUGGGAAACGGCCCAAACUCCUACGGGAGGCAGCAGUAGGGAAUCUUCGGCAAUGGACGAAAGUCUGACCGAGCAACGCCGGGUGAGUGAAGAAGGUUUUCGGAUCGUAAAACUCUGUUGGUAGAGAAGAACGUUGGUGAGAGUGGAAAGCUCAUCAAGUGACGGUAACUACCCAGAAAGGGACGGCUAACUACGUG